Molecule: ribosomal RNA, 549 nt
Filed under: Septoglomus viscosum
Lineage: Eukaryota; Fungi; Glomeromycota; Glomeromycetes; Glomerales; Glomeraceae
Also listed under: 1 other name
Description: SSU rRNA
Rfam family: Eukaryotic small subunit ribosomal RNA
Source: RNAcentral
UUGGAGGGCAAGUCUGGUGCCAGCAGCCGCGGUAAUUCCAGCUCCAAUAGCGUAUAUUAAAGUUGUUGCAGUUAAAAAGCUCGUAGUUGAACUUCGGGAUCAAUGGAUUGGUCAUGCCGUUGGUAUGUACUGGUCAUAUUGGUUCUCACCUUCUAAGGAACCAUAAUGUCAUUCAUUUGAUGUUUUGGGGAAUUAGGACUGUUACCUUGAAAAAAUUAGAGUGUUUAAAGCAGGCUAACGCUUGAAUACAUUAGCAUGGAAUAAUGAAAUAGGACAUCGCAUUCUAUUUUGUUGGUUUCUAGGAUCGAUGUAAUGAUUAAUAGGGAUAGUUGGGGGCAUUAGUAUUCAAUUGUCAGAGGUGAAAUUCUUGGAUUUAUUGAAGACUAACUACUGCGAAAGCAUUUGCCAAGGAUGUUUUCAUUAAUCAAGAACGAAAGUUAGGGGAUCGAAGACGAUCAGAUACCGUCGUAGUCUUAACCAUAAACUAUGCCGACUAGGGAUCGGAUGAUGUUGAUUUUUUAAUGACUCAUUCGGCACCUUACGGGAAAC